Molecule: non-coding RNA, 117 nt
Filed under: Streptomyces sp.
Lineage: Bacteria; Bacillati; Actinomycetota; Actinomycetes; Kitasatosporales; Streptomycetaceae
Source: RNAcentral
UGCUUGUUAUGCUGCCAGGGCGUCCCGCGGGGGAAGCCGGUGCGAAUCCGGCGCUGACCCGCAACGGUAAGCGGCCCCCGCGGCCGUGAGCCCGAUCGCCCGGGGACGCCGACCUCC